This 253-nucleotide ribosomal RNA is filed under the name uncultured bacterium. RNAcentral describes it as "partial 16S ribosomal RNA". It matches the Rfam family "Bacterial small subunit ribosomal RNA", at positions 524 to 776 of the family's 1533-position model. The record is from RNAcentral.
UACGGAGGGGGCUAGCGUUGUUCGGAAUUACUGGGCGUAAAGCGCACGUAGGCGGCUUUGUAAGUCAGGGGUGAAAGCCUGGAGCUCAACUCCAGAACUGCCUUUGAAACUAGACAGCUUGAAUCAUGGAGAGGCGGGUGGAAUUCCGAGUGUAGAGGUGAAAUUCGUAGAUAUUCGGAAGAACACCAGUGGCGAAGGCGGCCCGCUGGACAUGUAUUGACGCUGAGGUGCGAAAGCGUGGGGAGCAAACAGG